GGGGGUAUAGCUCAAUGGUAGAGCAUUCGACUGUAGAUCGAGAGGUCCCCGGUUCAAACUCAGGGUGCUCCCU
This 73-nucleotide transfer RNA is filed under the name Stegodyphus dumicola. RNAcentral's name for it is "tRNA-Tyr". It matches the Rfam family "tRNA". From Rfam's summary of the family: Transfer RNA (tRNA) molecules are approximately 80 nucleotides in length. Their secondary structure includes four short double-helical elements and three loops (D, anti-codon, and T loops). The record is from RNAcentral. Lineage: Eukaryota; Metazoa; Arthropoda; Arachnida; Araneae; Eresidae.